CCUACGGGGGGCUGCAGUGGGGAAUAUUGGACAAUGGGCGAAAGCCUGAUCCAGCCAUGCCGCGUGUGGGAAGAAGGCCUUCGGGUUGUAAAGCACUUUCAGUGGGGAAGAAAGCCUUGGGGCUAAUACCCUCGAGGAAGGACAUCACCCACAGAAGAAGCACCGGCUAACUCCGUGCCAGCAGCCGCGGUAAUACGGAGGGUGCGAGCGUUAAUCGGAAUUACUGGGCGUAAAGCGCGCGUAGGCGGUCUGAUAAGCCGGUUGUGAAAGCCCCGGGCUCAACCUGGGAACGGCAUCCGGAACUGUCAGGCUAGAGUGCAGGAGAGGAAGGUAGAAUUCCCGGUGUAGCGGUGAAAUGCGUAGAGAUCGGGAGGAAUACCAGUGGCGAAGGCGGCCUUCUGGACUGACACUGACGCUGAGGUGCGAAAGCGUGGGUAGCAAACAGGAUUAGAUACCCGAGUAGUC
This 465-nucleotide ribosomal RNA is filed under the name Vreelandella stevensii. Its description in RNAcentral is "partial 16S ribosomal RNA". It matches the Rfam family "Bacterial small subunit ribosomal RNA", at positions 338 to 795 of the family's 1533-position model. Lineage: Bacteria; Pseudomonadati; Pseudomonadota; Gammaproteobacteria; Oceanospirillales; Halomonadaceae. The record is from RNAcentral.